Molecule: ribosomal RNA, 325 nt
Filed under: uncultured eukaryote
Lineage: Eukaryota
Description: partial 18S ribosomal RNA
Rfam family: Eukaryotic small subunit ribosomal RNA
Source: RNAcentral
CCCUUAGAUGUUCUGGGCCGCACGCGCGCUACACUGAUGCAUUCAACGAGCCUAUCCUUGACCGACAGGUCCGGGUAAUCUUUGAAUCUGCAUCGUGACGGGGAUAGAUUAUUGCAAUUAUUAAUCUUCAACGAGGAAUGCCCAGUAGGCGCAAGUCAUCAGCUUGCGUCGAUUACGUCCCUGCCCUUUGUACACACCGCCCGUCGCUCCUACCGAUUGGGUGUGCUGGUGAAAUGUUCGGAUCGGCCGUUUGUCGCGGUUUCCGCGUCAUGUGGCUGAGAAGUUCAUUAAACCCUCCCACCUAGAGGAAGGAGAAGUCGUAACA